GCACAUGGGUUAGUCGAUCCUAAG
This 24-nucleotide non-coding RNA is filed under the name Arabidopsis thaliana (thale cress). RNAcentral also lists the same sequence under 1 other name. Lineage: Eukaryota; Viridiplantae; Streptophyta; Magnoliopsida; Brassicales; Brassicaceae. The record is from RNAcentral.